Molecule: unclassified non-coding RNA, 338 nt
Filed under: soil metagenome
Description: partial contains 5.8S ribosomal RNA, internal transcribed spacer 2, and large subunit ribosomal RNA
Rfam family: 5.8S ribosomal RNA (bases 1-120)
Source: RNAcentral
GAUGAAGAACGUAGCGAAAUGCGAUAAGUAGUGUGAAUUGCAGAAUUCAGUGAAUCAUCGAAUCUUUGAACGCACAUUGCGCCCUUUGGUAUUCCUUAGGGCAUGCCUGUUCGAGCGUCAUUUAAACCCUUCAAGCUCAGCUUGGUGUUGGGUGACUGUCCGCAGCCCCCGGGCGCGGACUCGCCCCAAAUUCAUUGGCGGCCGGUACGUAGGCUUCGAGCGCAGCAGAAACGCGAACUCGGGCCCGCGGUGUCGGCUCCCAGAAGCCAUCUCUUUUAUUUUGACCUCGGAUCAGGUAGGGAUACCCGCUGAACUUAAGCAUAUCAAUAAGCGGAGGA